GCUCUCUCUCUCUCUCUCUCUCUCUCUCUCUCUCUCUCUCUCUCUCCCCCUCCCUAAAAAAAUCGAAGUUGAAGAAAAAUAAGAAGUCGAUCAGAAAGCCGAGGACGACAAUCAAACGAAAGCCACUUCUGCUGCGCUGUCAUUUAUAGAUUUCUUCUCAUUGAGAGGCUCUUCUUGAUAUAUAUAUGGAAGCGGUUGAAGGAAGAUUCAUGGUAGUUGGUGGUGGUGUAGAUGACGGGUUUCUCGAUUUUGGGGUUCUGGACAGUGCUGUGGGGGAGAUGUACCUGCCAGAUGUUGAUUCUCUCGGCCAUUUUCCAAUUCUCACGACUUGCAUCUUCCUUUUGUUUUAUAGUGGUUUUCAAUAAUUAUGUACAUAUUUUUAUAGUGGUUUUCAAUAUUUUUACAUAAACCACUAAUAAAAAUCUGUACAAAAAUUAUAGAGGUUUUCAAUAAUUUUUGUACAUAUUUUUAUAUAACUGUAUAUACAGAGUGGUUAUUAUAUUGACAUAGUUGUUAUACAGAG
RNAcentral lists this long non-coding RNA (523 nucleotides) under Erythranthe guttata (spotted monkey flower). RNAcentral's name for it is "long non-coding RNA (EGUT_LNC000080)". The record is from RNAcentral. Lineage: Eukaryota; Viridiplantae; Streptophyta; Magnoliopsida; Lamiales; Phrymaceae.